RNAcentral lists this small RNA (107 nucleotides) under Meriones unguiculatus (Mongolian gerbil). RNAcentral's name for it is "7SK RNA (ENSMUGG00000011654.1)". It matches the Rfam family "7SK RNA", at positions 1 to 108 of the family's 331-position model. Rfam says of the family: 7SK was discovered as an abundant small nuclear RNA in the mid-70s but a possible function has only recently been suggested. Two independent studies have found that 7SK RNA binds the CDK9/cyclin T complex (known as elongation factor P-TEFb). The record is from RNAcentral. Lineage: Eukaryota; Metazoa; Chordata; Mammalia; Rodentia; Muridae.
GGAUGUGAGGGAGAUCUGGCUGAGACAUCUGUCAUCCCAUUGAUCAUCAAGCUCGGUCGGGUGACCUGAGUGGUAACGUGGGCGUCCCCUUCCUCCUGCACCACUCC